ACCUGCCCCUUCACCUUCACCAUGUCCUUUAGAAUCAGGUGGGUCAUCACCAGCCCUGCUGUUCUCCGCACCUGCUGAGCUGGGUCCCGGAGCCUAGGAGUGAAGUCUCAAGUCACUGGCACUAAUGGAAUGUGUCUGGGGAAAGGCAAGUUCUGUAAAACCAUUCCUACAGUGGUCAAAUGUGUCUAUAAAGAGGAAGCACACCUUAAUUAAACAGGAAAAGAACUAGGAUUCUGUAGUUUUACUUCUAAGUUGCCAAAUGUGAACUGGCAAAUUCAAAGUGGAACAAGCAGCAUUAUUUUCAAGUUGCUAAAGCAUAUUCCUACAUCUCUGAACUCAUCCUCACAGAAGCACGUCAUUUCCUGCAUACAAUCAAUAAACGGAUCAUGGGGACAAUGGUUCAAGGUCACAGAGGUCAGACCUAAUUCCACUGCUGCAAGAUACUCUGUCUUAUUUGUCUGCAAGACACCACUGCCUCUAGUGGAAAGAACACAAGGUCCCCAUAAGGUGGCAGGCCCAGCAACCAUGGCUGAUGGGAAAGGGGGUGCGUGUGUGCUUAUUCUAACAAGCAGUGCCUGAGGGGGAGCCUAGAUUUCAUGCUGAGGUCCCUAACUCAACGCUCUGUUUCCCUAAAACUUUCCUUCCUGGGUGGUCACCAACAGAUCGCUCCAUCUUUGUUCUCACUAACCUUUCCCAGUAACAGCAGCAAGGAGGCAGGGUGUCUUCCUCAUUUAACAGUAGAAAAGCAGAGGUUCCCAGAAGGAAACGUGAGUGACCCACAGUCAGGAAAUAAAUCCGGGAAAUGCUUGGGACACAAACCCAAACACGCAGGCACUUCAUUCACCUUCUCCUUUGGAUCCUUAGUCUUCUGCUCCUGCUCUUCCCGAAGAACCCGGCGCCGACAGAGCUCCCCGCUCACUGCCUGUUCCAAGUGCACCAGCUGCUGCAGAGCCACAUCUCCAGCCAGGGACAGCAGGUUCAUCAACAGGAAAGUGGGGAGCAUGGGGGUGUCCUCUGGAGGAGGGGAGGCAAAGCAGGGAGAAAGAGACAAAAUUAAAUCUCACAGGACCCUGCAUUCUGUGUUGAUGGCUCUACCUCUUGCUCAUGUGCCAUACACAAGCUGGCGCAGAAGAGAGAGAUGGAGACAGUGGAGAGUGGGCGGGGAGGGAUGGGGAUGGUGGCGGUGACUGGCCCAGUCUGAGUGACAGAAGUGAGACAGUGUGGUCUGCGGAGGGUCAGGGGCUGCUGUAGGAAGCAGUGCUGGCAGUGGCUACUGGCUCGACAAGGAAAGCAGUAGACUCUGGCUGCUGCCCACGGGGGACCCUCUUGCCUACUUACUCGGGACCUCCUGGGUGGCGCUCUUCUCCCCCAGCUUCUCCAGGGCCUGCUUCGCACAGCCCUGCAAUAUCUGGGCACAGAUCACCUCGGGGCCCUCUGCCAGCUGGUAAAUGAGGGUCACUGCCACCUCUUUGAAUGGGAUCCAGAGUGGGUCUGGGUGGACAAAGCCUGUAGAGGAGAAGGGAGAAGUCACCCACUGCAGACAAAGGACUCCAUUCUACCCGAGGCCUUCACGAUAGCUCACCUUUUGUGACCACCUCUUGCAGUCGCUCAAACAACCUAUGUUGCUGAGGCAGCCGGAAGGGAGGGUGACGUUUGCUCAGAGAAGGCUGUCGAGAACAGGAAAGACAAAAGAUGGCGUCUGUCUGGAUCUGAGCCUCACCGUGCCAUCAUCCCAAGAAGCAUGACAGAGGAACAGCGCUCCAGAGGAGAGCAGGGGACCUUCUCGGUCGCCCGCUCCCACAGCAGCUGGGUCACUGCCGGUUUCAAUUCAUCCUUCUGCACAAACUCACAGAGCUGAAGAGAAAAGAGAAAGGGCUCAGGCCAAAAAAUAACAACCCCCCACCAAUCCUUGGUCCGCUUCUCUGAAGAGAACGUUGAGAGCCCGAAGUGGGUAAAAGCAAUACUUAGGGAUGGAAAAGGAAGGAGGCUCGAAAUGUAAAGUUGGGGUUUGGGGAGGUACUUGCACCUCUGUCACUUUUCUACCUUCAUGUCUUCAAAACUACAUUUAUUAAGAUGACAUAUUGAAGUCUGUGUGAGUCCAUGGCUCUGACUACAUUCCGGGGAUUUCUAGUAGCUGUUGUUGCUGUGACCACAACUCAACAUGUCUAAAACAGAAGACUCCAUCCUUCCUUGCCUUUUCAUUUUGCCCAGGGUACCAACAUUCUCAAUCACAUAUGCUUAACACUUCACAGUCAGCUAAUUUCUUCCCCACUUAAUCCUAUCCAUUUUUCCUUUAUAAUCUAUCUUCCAUUAAGUGCAACUCUACAGCUUUUCCUCCCAGCCCGAGUCUAGUCCUUUGAUGCUGCACACUUACAGAAGGUCCGUAGACCUCAUCUCUAGCGUCCUCUCCAACCAACCUGUAUGCUCCUGUUGGACCAGUCUCCCAAACAUCUUCUUCAUCACGCCACACCUCUGCUCAUCAUUUAGAAAUAGCUCUCCUUUGGAGCACUUGGGUGGCUCAGUCGGUUAAGUGUCCGAUUCUGGCUCAGGUCAUGAUCCUGCAGUUCGUGAGUUCAAGACCUGCAUCAGGCUGUGUGCUGACAGCUCAGAGCCUGGAGUCUGCUUCAGAUAGAUUCUGUGUCUCCCUCUCUGUCCCUCCCCCACUCACGCUCUGUCUCUCUCUCAAAAAUAAAUAAACAUAAAAAAAAAAAAAGAAAAGAAACAAAACUCUCCUUUGCCUAUAGUAGGGGCUCUGGACCAGGAGAGCUAGCCUGACAUUUCAGCCCAGCGGCUGCCACCAGGCUCCUUUUCUCCCCAAGAGAAAAAUGUGGCUGGCGGUAGUGCUCCACCUGGUGGAAGCUGGUGGUCAGCACACCUCCACCUGUCUCCACAACCCAAAUACUUUUACUUCAAAAGCAGGUCCACCUCACUAAAAUGUUGGCCAACAAGGUGAAAGUCCCGGACUUGUGAAAGGCAUUCAGGGACCUUUACAAUUCAGUUCCAACCUACACUCCCACUUUAUUAUCUUUUGCAUAUAACAGUUUCCAGCCAGAACGUGAUCUUUUUCAUGCCACAACUUUCUGUGCUCUUAACUGGCUUUCCAUCUACAUGUUCCCUCCUUUCUCUCUCUACAUCCUACUCAUCAAGACCCUGUUUCAGUCCUACCACCUCCAGGAAACUGUCCUUGACUGUUCUACCUCAUACUGCUCUCUUGCCCACUCAGGACUCGUCAGGGUAACGUACAAGGUAUGAGUAUGUUUUCUGGAGCUCUUAUUGCCUGAGUCUCUGCCACCAACCAGCUGUGAUUAGCCAAGUUCCUUAACCUCUCAGUGCCUUAAGCUUCUCACUGUAAAAUGUACACUAACAGUAUUACCUCACUGGGUUGUUGUGAGGUUUACACAAGUUCAUAUGAGCAAACUGCUAAGAACAGUCCCUGGCACGUCAUUAGUGUUACCCUAUCACCAUUGCUGCUACAACCAUUACCUGUGCCACAUUUUUUUGGCACUGAAUUACCUAUGUGCCACAUCAUUCUAUAACUGUUUUAUGUUUUUUGGCUACCCACUAUACUGUUGGUUCCUUUUAAGUUGGGAACUUGAAAACAAUCUUAUACUUUGUGGGGCUGAGUAAACUGAUGAACAUGUACAUAGUAAUCACUAAU
Molecule: long non-coding RNA, 3658 nt
Organism: Acinonyx jubatus (cheetah)
Lineage: Eukaryota; Metazoa; Chordata; Mammalia; Carnivora; Felidae
Exons: 3
Source: RefSeq, a predicted model, not a curated record